UAUCUCUGUAGAGUCUGCAUAUCAAUAAGCGGAGGAAAAGAAACUAACAAGGAUUCCCUUAGUAACGGCGAGUGAAGCGGGAAGAGCUCAAAUUUGAAAUCUUCAAGGUUCUACCUUGACGAAUUGUAGUUUAAAGAAGUGUUUUCUGUUAGAUGAGUAGCAAAAGUUCCUUGGAAUGGGACAUCAUAGAGGGUGAGAAUCCCGUAUUUGGUUAUUCAUUCUAGCUUUGUGGUACACUUUCAAAGAGUCGGAUUGUUUGGGAAUGCAGUCCAAAAUGGGUGGUAAAUUUCAUCUAAAGCUAAAUAUUGGCGAGAGACCGAUAGCGAACAAGUACCGUGAGGGAAAGAUGAAAAGAACUUUGAAAAGAGAGUUAAACAGUACGUGAAAUUGUCAAAAGGGAAGCGUUUGACACCAGUGUUGUUUUCCGAAAAUCAAUUACGAAUGGCUUGAUUUUGUGUUGUAUUGACCUUAUCAGCUUUCUGCACUUUUUUCGAGUCUUUCUUAAUGCACUUUUUGGUUAACAAGUCAACAUCAAUUUCUUUUGUUGUAAAAGAGUAUUCGGAAGGUGGCUUUCUUUUCGGAGAAAGUGUUUAUAGCCCUAUACUUCUACAAUCGGAGAGAUUGAGGUCUGCAGCGUAGAUCCUUCGGGGUUAGAUACAUUUGUGCUAAGUUGUAGCUUUUCAUAGACAACUUGUUGACUAUGUUUAGUCAUGCGGCUUACUCGCUUAUGCUAUUUUACCUACGCUUAGGAUGUUGACUGAUAUGUAGUCGUA
RNAcentral lists this ribosomal RNA (773 nucleotides) under uncultured Neocallimastigales. RNAcentral describes it as "partial large subunit ribosomal RNA". It matches the Rfam family "Eukaryotic large subunit ribosomal RNA", at positions 24 to 644 of the family's 3401-position model. The record is from RNAcentral. Lineage: Eukaryota; Fungi; Neocallimastigomycota; Neocallimastigomycetes; Neocallimastigales.